This 474-nucleotide ribosomal RNA is filed under the name Triticum aestivum (bread wheat). Its description in RNAcentral is "partial small subunit ribosomal RNA". The record is from RNAcentral. Lineage: Eukaryota; Viridiplantae; Streptophyta; Magnoliopsida; Poales; Poaceae.
CUUGCCUUCUGCCAGAGAACUGGCGGCUCCCAGUUCUGGCAGUCGGUCAUCCAGCUGCUCCCGGUGCUUUGCAUCGGGACAUCCAUCUCGGUUGGAUCUGGAGCUACGACUCUGUUCUGGUUUGUCCGCUGGGUGGGCGACUCCCCCUUCGCUGUGCGCUUCCCCGACCUCUUCUCCAUCGCCGUAGAUCCUAGGAUCUCGGUUGAGAGGGCCCUUAUUGACUUAGGGCGCCUCGCCUUCCGGAGACCAUUUGGGCCUCCGGAAACUGCCGACUGGCAGGAGCUGCUUGACUGCAUUGCCCUCCACGAGCCUCAGGUUGACGCUGGCCCGGAUUCUGUUCAGUGGCGCCUAGAGCCGUUGGGACAAUUCUCCACCAAGUUCCUCUACCGGGCUAUCGCCCCCUCCUCCGCCCCGCCUCCCCUCACGGCGGUUUGGCCUGUCCGCCUUCCCCUAAAGAUCCGGAUCUUGAUGUGG